Molecule: long non-coding RNA, 614 nt
Organism: Solanum stenotomum
Lineage: Eukaryota; Viridiplantae; Streptophyta; Magnoliopsida; Solanales; Solanaceae
Exons: 2
Source: RefSeq, a predicted model, not a curated record
AGUAAUACCCAAAUUGUUAAUGCAAUCAUCAAAAACAUCCCGAAUGACCCUGCUGGAAGUUGGAAUCCUUUAGUUAGAUGUCUAUUCAUGGAUUGAGCUUGUAGUAGUGGGAAUGAACUUUGGCUCAAGUUUAUUGAUAUCAUGAUCCCCGUUGACCACAAUGGCACGACUCUAAUGAGGGCUUUUAGCUCAUCAACUUGCUCCACUGUGCAAAGGUUCCAUGGAUUGGCUGCAACUCCGUUUGGCUUAACAUCUUCAGGGCUUUUAAUGAUGCAAGCUUUGUUUAAGAAUCUCAAUUUCUCCGUUGGCACUUGAGGUCCUGAACCAUUCUUGUGAUGAUAAUCAGAGUUCUGAUUGGGGUAAUGUAGUUUCCUAUUCUUGAAGGCAACCACAAUUACUCGUAUAAAGCUGGCAAACACGUUUGAGAGAACCUUUUGCUUGAUAUAAAACAGAGAAGCAAGGAAGAAAAAUAACGCGGAUAAGAACAUGAGGAUUGCAGGAACUCCAAAACCUAUUUUCCACCCGAGUCUGUCUUGAAGGUAAACGAUACCCGUUAGGGCAAUCAGAACAGAGACUACAGAUGAAGUAUAAUACCAGGAAAAGAAGCUCUCCAA